This 78-nucleotide transfer RNA is filed under the name Candidatus Omnitrophota bacterium. RNAcentral's name for it is "Candidatus Omnitrophica bacterium tRNA-Pro". It matches the Rfam family "tRNA". Rfam says of the family: Transfer RNA (tRNA) molecules are approximately 80 nucleotides in length. Lineage: Bacteria; Pseudomonadati; Candidatus Omnitrophota. The record is from RNAcentral.
CGGGGUGUGGCGCAGUUUGGUUAGCGCGCUUGAAUGGGGUUCAAGAGGUCGCUGGUUCGAAUCCAGUCGCCCCGACCA